This 71-nucleotide transfer RNA is filed under the name Achatinella sowerbyana. RNAcentral's name for it is "tRNA-Gly". Lineage: Eukaryota; Metazoa; Mollusca; Gastropoda; Stylommatophora; Achatinellidae. The record is from RNAcentral.
UUCUUUAUAGUAUAAAAAGUAUAUGUAUUUUCCAAAUACUAGGUCUUAAUGUUAUAAAAUAAGUAAAGGUA